GAAUGACCUAAACCCAUGACAAGAAUGUUAUUGGAAGUUAGUACAACUCUGGAGAAUACUUUUAUGAAAAGCCGCUGAUAGUUUGUAUACUGUUUUCUUUUGCUUGAUGAUCUGUAUUUAUUUUAAGAAUUUAAACUUUAUCCUCCAAUUUUGUGCAUAACCAUAACUAAACCAUUUUCAUUUUCCUACUUCUUUAACCAAUCCAAUAUACUACUCUGUGGCAUGUUAUACUCUAUAUCUCUCAUGUAGCAACUAGAGAGCCUUUGGUUACCUAACGUAUCUGCGUAAUCUUUCAAAUGAAAAUACAAAUGAACAAUGCAUGUAAGAUACUUUAAGAAAAAAGUCCAAGUAUAUAGACAGAUACAUAAAGCUAACAGUGGCUGGAUGUAGAGCUAUGCAGAAUUCAAUCAUUUUGGACCAUGGGAAGGUCCUCAACAAAUGGCAAUUUCAGCCAUUCUGAAACAAGUCUGAAGCAUACAACUCAAGCUCCACCCCCUAAUACUCAACCCUUCGGGAUAUCAGUUUCCUUUCUUCUGCCUGUGUAAGAAAAUUAGAAAAUUGUCAACAAGAAAAUAUCUCUGCAUAAAAGAACUUAAGCUUGAUGAAAUCAGAGAAACGGAAUUUGUAUUGGAGGAUAAGGUUUCAUCUUAGGCUUGCUAUUGGUUUUUGCUUGUAAACACACGCUCCUAAUUUCUCGAGUCCAGUGACUAAUUUUUUUAAUAUGCACUGAUCCUUCAUUCAUGAUUUGAGGUGAGUCUACUAUACAAAACCAGUGCUUCUUUUAAGAAAAGUGUUCCAUAUCUGUCAUAAGUAAAUAAUUUGAUGAAUGGCACAGAGUCACUUACCCAUUGCUUAAUACUACUAAUUUGUCUAUUUUUUAUUUCAAUCUGCAUCAUCCAGUAGCUGUAAAUAUCAACUCUGGCAUAAAUGAAUCCCUCAGCACUGCACUCUACUCUGGAAAUAGAUGUAAUUAUCAUCUUUAAAACUUAUAUAAACAUAAUUUUAUAUGAAAA
This 1013-nucleotide long non-coding RNA is filed under the name Nicotiana benthamiana. RNAcentral's name for it is "long non-coding RNA (NBEN_LNC005624)". Lineage: Eukaryota; Viridiplantae; Streptophyta; Magnoliopsida; Solanales; Solanaceae. The record is from RNAcentral.